This 333-nucleotide long non-coding RNA is filed under the name Musa acuminata (dwarf banana). RNAcentral describes it as "long non-coding RNA (MACU_LNC005400)". The record is from RNAcentral. Lineage: Eukaryota; Viridiplantae; Streptophyta; Magnoliopsida; Zingiberales; Musaceae.
UCUGCCUCUUUCUUUUCUUCUUCUUUCCAUGUAGAGCUUCUCUUUCUUGCUUUGCUUUCCCUGCCUCAUGUCACAGCUCACUGCCAUGAUCAGCACCAAGAAGAUAUUUGAUCGCUACCAGCAGGUCUCCGGAACCAACCUGUGGAGUGCACAAUACGAGGCAAGAACUACCUUCAUCUCCGAGUUCCAUGUCUGUAUAUGCUUUCACUCAUGAUCAAGGGUCUCAUGUCUUACAUGCUUCUUUCUUUCUCUUGGGGUGGAAGUAGAGAAUGCAAAACAACCUCAACCAUCUGAAGCAGAUUAACCGCAACCUGCGUAGAGAAAUAAGGUCCC